Molecule: ribosomal RNA, 976 nt
Filed under: Criconemoides brevistylus
Lineage: Eukaryota; Metazoa; Nematoda; Chromadorea; Rhabditida; Criconematidae
Description: partial large subunit ribosomal RNA
Rfam family: Eukaryotic large subunit ribosomal RNA
Source: RNAcentral
CAGUUCCUGUACGGCGAGUGACAGGGAUCAGUCCAGCGCUGAAUCUCGACGUUUCGGCGUCGCGACGUGUAGCGUAUAGGCGGUGUUCUUGGCUCUGGUCGAAGGCACAAGUUUCCCAUGACCGGGGCGCCAUAGAAGGUGAUAGACCUGUAGCGCCUAAGGCCUCUGCCAACUGCACUGUCUUGGAGUCGGGUUGUUUGGGAUCGCAGCCCAAAGAAGGUGGUAAACUUCAUCUAAGACUAAAUACCCCUACGAGACCGAUAGCGAACAAGUACCGUGAGGGAAAGUUGCAAAGCACUUUGAAGAGAGAGUUAAAGAGGACGUGAAACCGGUAGGAUGGAAACGGAUAGAGCCAGCGAAGUCGCUCGUAUUCAGCCAAAGGCCCGGGGCUCAUCGUCGUCGUGUUUCUAAUCGAGCACGGCGGCGACUCUGCUCUGGGCUGAGGUGCAUUUGCGGGCGUUUGCGCUGAGACUUGCGAGGCAGCUGCUGGACGGGCGUUCUAGAGGCUUCCCUCUGGGUUGAACCUGGAUGCCAAUACAGCUGUUUGCCUUGCUCGUACUGGUCUGGCCUACGAACCUGGGCUGUGUUGUUGCCUUCGGGCCAAGGCAUCGCAUGCGAUGUCUAGUCUGCGGGUUGCAGCAUGGUUCAGUGUUCCCAGAUCGCCUCUCGGUGUAGAAGCUGGUCAUCUCUCCGACCCGUCUUGAAACACGGACCAAGGAGUUUAGCGUAUGCGCGAGUCAUUGGGUGCACAAACCCACAGGCGCAAUGAAAGUAAAGGCUCGGUCGCCGGGCUGACAUGUGAGUGCCGCGGCUUCGGCCUAGGCAUGCAGCAUGGUCCCGUUGCAGCCGCUUGCGGCGCAGCGGAGACAGAGCGUAUGCGCUGAGACCCGAAAGAUGGUGAACUAUUCCUGAGCAGGACGAAGCCAGAGGAAACUCUGGUGGAAGUCCGAAGCGAUUCUGACGUGCAAAUCGAUCG